CGGCGCACAUAAGACAUGCAAGUCGAACGGACUUAACCAUUAUUUUACUAUUGGAGCGGUUAGUGGCGGACUGGUGAGUAACACGUAAGCAACCUGCCUAUCAGAGGGGAACAACAGUUAGAAAUGACUGCUAAUACCGCAUAUGCCUUAAUUACCACAUGGUAAUAGAGGGAAAGGAGUAAUCCGCUGAUAGAUGGGCUUGCGUCUGAUUAGAUAGUUGGUAAGGUAACGGCUUACCAAGUCGACGAUCAGUAGCCGGACUGAGAGGUUGAACGGCCACAUUGGGACUGAGAUACGGCCCAGACUCCUACGGGAGGCAGCAGUCGGGAAUAUUGCGCAAUGGAGGAAACUCUGACGCAGUGACGCCGCGUGCAGGAAGAAGGUUUUCGGAUUGUAAACUGCUUUAGACAGGGAAGAAACAAGACAGUACCUGUAGAAUAAGCUCCGGCUAACUACGUGCCAGCAGCCGCGGUAAUACGUAGGGAGCAAGCGUUAUCCGGAUUUAUUGGGUGUAAAGGGUGCGUAGACGGGAAUGCAAGUUGGUUGUGAAAUCCCUCGGCUCAACCGAGGAAUUGCAACCAAAACUAUAUUUCUUGAGUGCUGGAGAGGAAAGUGGAAUUCCUAGUGUAGCGGUGAAAUGCGUAGAUAUUAGGAGGAACACCAGUGGCGAAGGCGACUUUCUGGACAGUAACUGACGUUGAGGCACGAAAGUGUGGGGAGCAAACAGGAUUAGAUACCCUGGUAGUCCACACCGUAAACGAUGGAUACUAGGUGUAGGGGAUGAAUAAUCUUCUGUGCCGUCGCAAACGCAGUAAGUAUCCCACCUGGGGAGUACGGCCGCAAGGUUGAAACUCAAAGGAAUUGACGGGGGCCCGCACAAGCAGUGGAGUAUGUGGUUUAAUUCGACGCAACGCGAAGAACCUUACCAGGGCUUGACAUAUACAUGAAAAUCUAAGAGAUUAGAUCCCUCUUCGGAGCAUCGGAGACAGGUGGUGCAUGGUUGUCGUCAGCUCGUGUCGUGAGAUGUUGGGUUAAGUCCCGCAACGAGCGCAACCCUUAUUCUUAGUAGCCAGCAGGGAAAGCUGGGCACUCUAAGGAGACUGCCGGGGAUAACCCGGAGGAAGGUGGGGAUGACGUCAAAUCAUCAUGCCCCUUAUGAUCUGGGCUACACACGUGCUACAAUGGCGUAACAAAGGGAAGCGAGCCUGCGAGGGUGAGCAAAUCCCAAAAAUAACGUCCCAGUUCGGACUGUAGUCUGCAACCCGACUACACGAAGCUGGAAUCGCUAGUAAUCGCGAAUCAGAAUGUCGCGGUGAAUACGUUCCCGGGUCUUGUACACACCGCCCGUCACACCAUGGGAGUCGGAAAUGCCCGAAGUCUGUGACUCAACCGUAAGGAGAGAGCAGCCGAAGGUAGGUCUGAUAACUGG
Molecule: ribosomal RNA, 1429 nt
Filed under: uncultured organism
Description: 16S ribosomal RNA
Rfam family: Bacterial small subunit ribosomal RNA
Source: RNAcentral